AUACGUAGGUGACAAGCGUUAUCCGGAUUUACUGGGUGUAAAGGGCGUGUAGGCGGUUUAGCAAGUCAGAAGUGAAAUUCCCGGGCUUAACUUGGGCGCUGCUUCUGAAACUGCUUUACUUGAGUGCUGGAGAGGAUAGUGGAAUUCCUAGUGUAGCGGUAAAAUGCGCAGAUAUUAGGAGGAACACCGGUGGCGAAGGCGGAUAUCUGGACAGUAACUGACGCUGAGGCGCGAAAGCACGGAGAGCAAACAGGAUUAGAUACCCUGGUAGUCCGUGCCGUAAACGAUGAAUACUAGGUGUAGGGGGUAUCGACUCCCUCUGUGCCGCAGUUAACACAUUAAGUAUUCCACCUGGGGAGUACGGCCGCAAGGUUGAAACUCAAAGGAAUUGACGGGG
Molecule: ribosomal RNA, 397 nt
Filed under: uncultured bacterium
Lineage: Bacteria
Description: partial 16S ribosomal RNA
Rfam family: Bacterial small subunit ribosomal RNA
Source: RNAcentral